Molecule: ribosomal RNA, 1144 nt
Filed under: Vibrio owensii
Lineage: Bacteria; Pseudomonadati; Pseudomonadota; Gammaproteobacteria; Vibrionales; Vibrionaceae
Description: bacterial SSU rRNA
Rfam family: Bacterial small subunit ribosomal RNA
Source: RNAcentral
GGNGGCCUANCAUGCAGUCGAGCGGAACGAGUUAUCUGAACCUUCGGGGNACGAUAACGGCGUCGAGCGGCGGACGGGUGAGUAAUGCCUAGGAAAUUGCCCUGAUGUGGGGGAUAACCAUUGGAAACGAUGGCUAAUACCGCAUAAUGCCUACGGGCCAAAGAGGGGGACCUUCGGGCCUCUCGCGUCAGGAUAUGCCUAGGUGGGAUUAGCUAGUUGGUGAGGUAAUGGCUCACCAAGGCGACGAUCCCUAGCUGGUCUGAGAGGAUGAUCAGCCACACUGGAACUGAGACACGGUCCAGACUCCUACGGGAGGCAGCAGUGGGGAAUAUUGCACAAUGGGCGCAAGCCUGAUGCAGCCAUGCCGCGUGUGUGAAGAAGGCCUUCGGGUUGUAAAGCACUUUCAGUCGUGAGGAAGGUNGUGUAGUUAAUAGCUGCAUUANUUGACGUUAGCGACAGAAGAAGCACCGGCUAACUCCGUGCCAGCAGCCGCGGUAAUACGGAGGGUGCGAGCGUUAAUCGGAAUUACUGGGCGUAAAGCGCAUGCAGGUGGUUUGUUAAGUCAGAUGUGAAAGCCCGGGGCUCAACCUCGGAAUAGCAUUUGAAACUGGCAGACUAGAGUACUGUAGAGGGGGGUAGAAUUUCAGGUGUAGCGGUGAAAUGCGUAGAGAUCUGAAGGAAUACCGGUGGCGAAGGCGGCCCCCUGGACAGAUACUGACACUCAGAUGCGAAAGCGUGGGGAGCAAACAGGAUUAGAUACCCUGGUAGUCCACGCCGUAAACGAUGUCUACUUGGAGGUUGUGGCCUUGAGCCGUGGCUUUCGGAGCUAACGCGUUAAGUAGACCGCCUGGGGAGUACGGUCGCAAGAUUAAAACUCAAAUGAAUUGACGGGGGCCCGCACAAGCGGUGGAGCAUGUGGUUUAAUUNGAUGCAANGCGAAGAACCUUACCUACUCUUGACAUCCAGAGAACUUUCCAGAGAUGGAUUGGUGCCUUCGGGAACUCUGAGACAGGUGCUGCAUGGCUGUCGUCAGCUCGUGUUGUGAAAUGUUGGGUUAAGUCCCGCAACGAGCGCAACCCUUAUCCUUGUUUGCCAGCGAGUAAUGUCGGGAACUCCAGGGAGACUGCCGGUGAUAAACCGGAGG